AUGGCCACCACCUCCGCCUACGCAGUGGCGGCCGGCGGCGGGGAGGCGUCGCCGUGCCGGGGCGCCCUUCUCAGGCCACGGCCUCCCCCGCACCGCCUCGCGUUCCUCUCCCGGGCGCCCGCUCGUCGGGCCUCGAUCUCGCUGCCGCCGGGGCCUCGCCGGGCGGGUCUGACAGCGGCGACCGCGGAGGGGAGGGCGGGGACGGGGAUGGAGGACGAGGAGGAGGGGCCGGCGUGGGUGGAGCUGGAGCCGAUCAGCGGCGAGGAGCAGCUGGACCGGGCCCUCGCCGAGGCCCAGCAGCGCGGCGUCCCCAUCGUCGUGUUCUGGACGGCGAGUUGGUGCAGGAAAUGCAUAUAUCUGAAGCCUAAGCUGGAAAAGUUGGCAGCAGAAUACUAUCCGAGAAUCCGGUUUUACUGUGUCGACGUCAACGCUGUUCCACAGAAGCUCGUGAAUCGUGCAGGAGUAACGAAGAUGCCUUCCAUACAGAUGUGGAGCGACUCCCGGAAGCAGGCCGAGGUGAUCGGCGGGCACGAGUCGUGGAUGGUGAUCGAGGACGUCCGGAGGAUGGUCGAGCAGGAGGAAUGA
This 585-nucleotide ribosomal RNA is filed under the name Triticum aestivum (bread wheat). RNAcentral's name for it is "partial small subunit ribosomal RNA". Lineage: Eukaryota; Viridiplantae; Streptophyta; Magnoliopsida; Poales; Poaceae. The record is from RNAcentral.